UACGUAGGGGGCAAGCGUUAUCCGGAUUUACUGGGUGUAAAGGGAGCGUAGACGGCAUGGCAAGUCAGAUGUGAAAGCCCGGGGCUCAACCCCGGGACUGCAUUUGAAACCGUCAGGCUGGAGUGCAGGAGAGGUAAGCGGAAUUCCUAGUGUAGCGGUGAAAUGCGUAGAUAUUAGGAGGAACACCAGUGGCGAAGGCGGCUUACUGGACUGUAACUGACGUUGAGGCUCGAAAGCGUGGGGAGCAAACAGG
RNAcentral lists this ribosomal RNA (253 nucleotides) under uncultured bacterium. Its description in RNAcentral is "partial 16S ribosomal RNA". It matches the Rfam family "Bacterial small subunit ribosomal RNA", at positions 524 to 776 of the family's 1533-position model. The record is from RNAcentral.